UCAAGACUAAGCCAUGCAUGUCUAAGUAUAAACGCUUCUAUACUGUGAAACUGCGAAUGGCUCAUUAAAUCAGUUAUAGUUUAUUUGAUGGUUCCUUACUACUUGGAUAACCGUAGUAAUUCUAGAGCUAAUACAUGCAGAAAGUCCCGACUUCUUGGAAGGGAUGUAUUUAUUAGAUCCAAAACCAGCGCGAGUUUCCUUCGGGGGCUCGGUUGCAUGGUGAUUCAUGAUAACUGCUCGAAUCGCAUGGCCUUGCGCCGGCGAUGAUCCAUUCAAAUUUCUGCCCUAUCAACUUUCGAUGGCAAGGUAGUGGCUUGCCAUGGUGACAACGGGUGACGGAGAAUUAGGGUUCGAUUCCGGAGAGGGAGCCUGAGAAACGGCUACCACAUCCAAGGAAGGCAGCAGGCGCGCAAAUUACCCAAUCCCGACUCGGGGAGGUAGUGACAAUAAAUAACAAUGCUGGGCUAUCGUAGUCUGGCAAUUGGAAUGAGUACAAUCUAAACCCCUUAACGAGGAACAAUUGGAGGGCAAGUCUGGUGCCAGCAGCCGCGGUAAUUCCAGCUCCAAUAGCGUAUAUUAAAGUUGUUGCAGUUAAAAAGCUCGUAGUUGGAUUUCGGGGCAGCCCGGCUGGUCCGUCGCGAGGCGAGUACUGGUCGGCCGCCCUUCCUCUCGAAAGCCCCGACUGCUCUUCACUGCAGUGGUCGGGGAGUUCGGGACGUUUACUUUGAAAAAAUUAGAGUGUUCAAGGCAGGCCAUCGCCUGAAUACAUUAGCAUGGAAUAAUGGAAGAGGACCUCGGUCCUAUUUUGUUGGUUUCUAGGGCCGAAGUAAUGAUUAAGAGGGACAGUUGGGGGCAUUCGUAUUUAAUUGUCAGAGGUGAAAUUCUCGGAUUUAUGAAAGACGAACAACUGCGAAAGCAUUUGCCAAGGAUGUUUUCAUUAAUCAAGAACGAAAGUUAGGGGUUC
RNAcentral lists this ribosomal RNA (964 nucleotides) under Ceratoporella nicholsoni. RNAcentral's name for it is "SSU rRNA". It matches the Rfam family "Eukaryotic small subunit ribosomal RNA", at positions 38 to 999 of the family's 1831-position model. Lineage: Eukaryota; Metazoa; Porifera; Demospongiae; Agelasida; Astroscleridae. The record is from RNAcentral.